UACGAAGGGGGCUAGCGUUGUUCGGAAUUACUGGGCGUAAAGGGCGCGUAGGCGGCGCAUCAAGUCAGGCGUGAAAGCCCUGGGCUCAACCCGGGAAUUGCGCUUGAGACUGGUGUGCUCGAGUACGGGAGAGGAUAGUGGAAUUCCCAGUGUAGAGGUGAAAUUCGUAGAUAUUGGGAAGAACACCAGUGGCGAAGGCGGCUAUCUGGACCGUAACUGACGCUGAGGCGCGAAAGCGUGGGGAGCAAACAGG
This 253-nucleotide ribosomal RNA is filed under the name uncultured bacterium. RNAcentral's name for it is "partial 16S ribosomal RNA". It matches the Rfam family "Bacterial small subunit ribosomal RNA", at positions 524 to 776 of the family's 1533-position model. The record is from RNAcentral.